GGCUCAGGGACGAACGCUGGCGGCGUGCCUAAUACAUGCAAGUCGUACGCUUCUUUUUCCACCGGAGCUUGCUCCACCGGAAAAAGAGGAGUGGCGAACGGGUGAGUAACACGUGGGUAACCUGCCCAUCAGAAGGGGAUAACACUUGGAAACAGGUGCUAAUACCGUAUAACAAUCGAAACCGCAUGGUUUUGAUUUGAAAGGCGCUUUCGGGUGUCGCUGAUGGAUGGACCCGCGGUGCAUUAGCUAGUUGGUGAGGUAACGGCUCACCAAGGCCACGAUG
Molecule: ribosomal RNA, 283 nt
Filed under: Enterococcus faecium
Lineage: Bacteria; Bacillati; Bacillota; Bacilli; Lactobacillales; Enterococcaceae
Description: partial 16S ribosomal RNA
Rfam family: Bacterial small subunit ribosomal RNA
Source: RNAcentral